RNAcentral lists this unclassified non-coding RNA (246 nucleotides) under Hevea brasiliensis (rubber tree). Lineage: Eukaryota; Viridiplantae; Streptophyta; Magnoliopsida; Malpighiales; Euphorbiaceae. The record is from RNAcentral.
CCCUCCUGGUUGCUUCAAUAAUAUUUUCCUGGGUUUUGUUUUUUGGGCUAUUCUAGAACUCAAGGCUCCUGUUUUUCAUGGGAAUGGACCCUUAAGAUGUCAAAGCAGUUUCAAAAACAAUAAUGGCUACAGAGAGGCCAAUUUUACAAGUGAAUAUUUCUUUUCGGAAAAUACCAUAGAAUCACAUCAUGUGAUCUUUUGGUACGAUGGCCAUGACAUUUCCUUUUUAGAUUGGCUCAAACAAAA